Molecule: long non-coding RNA, 210 nt
Filed under: Lathyrus oleraceus (garden pea)
Lineage: Eukaryota; Viridiplantae; Streptophyta; Magnoliopsida; Fabales; Fabaceae
Description: Pisum sativum (pea) long non-coding RNA (PSAT_LNC005131)
Source: RNAcentral
UUUCUUCCAAGGAAGGUAUCAAAAUCAGAGGUUCCUGUUAUUCAUUUUUUUGUCUUUCCAUGCCCCUUGGCAGUCAUCAUUCCACCUGACCAUUUGAUUUCUUUUUUUUUUUUUUUUUUCUGGUCCAGGCGUUUUUUGCACUGUUCUUUCUUUUCUUUUUUCUUUUUCCUCAAUUCUUUUUUUUUUUUUUUGCAGGAUCAACCUCGAUUC